Falco peregrinus (peregrine falcon) is the source of this 383-nucleotide long non-coding RNA. RefSeq lists it as uncharacterized. The transcript has 2 exons. The record is from RefSeq and is a predicted model, not a curated record. Lineage: Eukaryota; Metazoa; Chordata; Aves; Falconiformes; Falconidae.
UGGCCUUGCCCUUAGUGAACAAAGUCUCUGGGAAAUGAACUUCCCAUACAUUGAAGGUGGUUUGUUGGGAAGGAGAGAGCACGAACCUGAAAUGGAUGAAUAUUUCACAGGAGGAAAACCAGUUGGGUCUGGUGAAGACUCUGGGAGUUCAGGGUUGGUAGUCUUGUCUCCUGCCCCUUCUCCACCUGAAAAAUUUGUCAGAUGCCGAAGCACAAAUCCCUGACGUCUCCUGUAAGCACUGGAUCACCUGUCCUGAAGAGAACAUUCCCUAUCGUUGAGCUCUGGCUUCCCCAUCCGUGGUUGUGACUGCUGAACUUUGAAAACACAAUAUUCAAAUGAUGAUGGCAUGCAUCAUCUGUGAAGAAAAUAAAUCACUUACCUAA